RNAcentral lists this ribosomal RNA (274 nucleotides) under uncultured bacterium. Its description in RNAcentral is "partial 16S ribosomal RNA". It matches the Rfam family "Bacterial small subunit ribosomal RNA", at positions 523 to 796 of the family's 1533-position model. The record is from RNAcentral.
AUACGGAGGGUGCAAGCGUUAUUCGGAAUCACUGGGCGUAAAGGACGCGUAGGCGGGUUGGCAAGUCAGAUGUGAAAUCCUACAGCUUAACUGUAGAACUGCAUUUGAAACUGCUAACCUAGAGUAUGGGAGGGGGAGAUGGAAUUAGUGGUGUAGGGGUAAAAUCCGUAGAUAUCACUAGGAAUACCGAAAGCGAAGGCAAUCUUCUGGAACACUACUGACGCUGAGGCGCGAAAGCGUGGGGAGCAAACGGGAUUAGAAACCCUAGUAGUCC